AGGGUGUAAACGCUGCAGACUUGGUGUUGGGAACCCUUCGGGGGUGCUCAGUGCCGGAGAGAAGUUGUUAAGUCUGCUACUUGGGGAGUACGUCCGCAAGGAUGAAACUUAAAGGAAUUGGCGGGGGAGCACCGCAACGGGAGGAGCGUGCGGUUUAAUUGGAUUCAACGCCGAAAAACUCACCAGCAGCGACUGUUACAUGAAAGUCAGGUUGAUGACCUCACUAGAUUUUCAGAGAGGAGGUGCAUGGCGUCAGUGACU
This 261-nucleotide ribosomal RNA is filed under the name uncultured archaeon. Its description in RNAcentral is "partial 16S ribosomal RNA". It matches the Rfam family "Archaeal small subunit ribosomal RNA", at positions 748 to 1008 of the family's 1478-position model. The record is from RNAcentral.